RNAcentral lists this long non-coding RNA (990 nucleotides) under Salmo salar (Atlantic salmon). RNAcentral describes it as "lncRNA (ENSSSAG00000102799.1, ENSSSAG00000106145.1)". Lineage: Eukaryota; Metazoa; Chordata; Actinopteri; Salmoniformes; Salmonidae. The record is from RNAcentral.
CAGGUAACAAGGUAAACAAAGGGUCACAUGUCAUUGAUGACCAGGUCAUUCCCAUGUCUACUGUUGAAUAUCAGACAAACUGCAGCAAUUCAUUACGGAAUACACUUCACUGAUACACUUCCUCAUCAGAAUGAGUAAAGCCUGAAAUAACUUUAGAAGCUUAGACAUAAGAGAAUGUACAUGAAAACAGCAUACAGUAAGUGUACUGGACAUUUUUAUUGGUGUCAAUGCAUUAGCAUUAGAAAUGACAAUAUGUUCAGAAUUGUAUUUAUUGAUUUUUAUUUAACCUUUUAACCUAAAAGCCUUCUAGGCAAGUCAGUUAAGAACAAAAUUCUUAUUUACCACGACGGCCUAACCCGGCCAAACCCGGACGACGCUGGGCUAAUUGUGCGCCGCCCUAUGGGACUCCCAGUCACAGCCGGAUGUGAUGCAGCCUGGAUUCGAACCAGGGACUGUAGUGACACCUCUCGCACUGAGAUGCAGUGACUUAGACCGCUGCGCCACUCGGGAGCUCUGUAUUGUAUGUAUUGAUCAGACAUUUAUUUAAUAAUUUACGAUCGGCCAGCAUAGCCAAAAUAUUGAUCAACAUGAACACAUGAGAAAUAAAGGUGAGAAAUAAAGGUGAGAAAUAAAGGUGAGACAUAAAGGUGAGACAUAAAGGUGAGACAUAAAGGUGAGACAUAAAGGUGAGACAUAAAGGUGAGACAUAAAGGUGAGACAUAAAGGUGAGACAUCAUUUGACAGAAAACUAAUUUAGAGCCAUAAGUCAUAAUCUAACCCUAACCCUGCCGCCCUACAGUGUUCAGGACCCCAUUGAUUCAUACAGUUUGUAACGCUCAUCUCCUGUCUGAAUGGCUUGGAAGAAAAAUAAUACAAAGUAACAAAAUGUGAUGUCGUAUCACGUAAAAGUGAAUUACUUAGACUUUAGGAAAUGUAACCAACUAAGAGAUUGAUGGGAGAGGAGGGGAGGUAGACAAGCUUCAAUCACCC